AUUGAACGCUGGCGGCAGGCCUAACACAUGCAAGUUGGACGGUAGCACAGAGAGCUUGCUCUUGGGUGACGAGUGGCGGACGGGUGAGUAAUGUCUGGGGAUCUGCCCGAUAGAGGGGGAUAACCACUGGAAACGGUGGCUAAUACCGCAUAACGUCGCGAGACCAAAGAGGGGGACCUUCGGGCCUCUCACUAUCGGAUGAACCCAGAUGGGAUUAGCUAGUAGGCGGGGUAACGGCCCACCUAGGCGACGAUCCCUAGCUGGUCUGAGAGGAUGACCAGCCACACUGGAACUGAGACACGGUCCAGACUCCUACGGGAGGCAGCAGUGGGGAAUAUUGCACAAUGGGCGCAAGCCUGAUGCAGCCAUGCCGCGUGUAUGAAGAAGGCCUUCGGGUUGUAAAGUACUUUCAGCGGGGAGGAAGGCGAUGUGGUUAAUAACCGCAUUGAUUGACGUUACCCGCAGGAGAAGCACCGGCUAACUCCGUGCCAGCCGCCGCCGUAA
This 504-nucleotide ribosomal RNA is filed under the name uncultured bacterium. RNAcentral describes it as "partial 16S ribosomal RNA". It matches the Rfam family "Bacterial small subunit ribosomal RNA", at positions 30 to 523 of the family's 1533-position model. The record is from RNAcentral.